Molecule: ribosomal RNA, 562 nt
Filed under: uncultured archaeon
Lineage: Archaea
Description: bacterial SSU rRNA
Rfam family: Archaeal small subunit ribosomal RNA
Source: RNAcentral
GGGUGCAGCAGGCGCGAAAACUUUGCAAUGCGGGAAACCGUGACAAGGGAACUCUGAGUGCCCGUUAAAUCGGGCUGUCCAUCGGUUUAAAUAACCGGUGAAGAAAGGGCCGGGCAAGACCGGUGCCAGCCGCCGCGGUAAUACCGGCGGCUCGAGUGGUGGCCACUAUUACUGGGCUUAAAGCGUUCGUAGCUGGUUUGUUAAGUCUCUGGGGAAAUCUUCCGGCUUAACCGGAAGGCGUCUCAGGGAUACUGGCAGACUAGGGACCGGGAGAGGUGAGAGGUACUCCAGGGGUAGGAGUGAAAUCCUGUAAUCCUUGGGGGACCACCUGUGGCGAAGGCGUCUCACCAGAACGGCUCCGACAGUGAGGGACGAAAGCUGGGGGAGCAAACCGGAUUAGAUACCCGGGUAGUCCCAGCUGUAAACGAUGCGCGUUAGGUGUAUCGGUGACCACGAGUCACCGAGGUGCCGAAGAGAAAUCGUGAAACGUGCCGCCUGGGAAGUACGGUCGCAAGGCUGAAACUUAAAGGAAUUGGCGGGGGAGCACAAGGGCGAAUUCGCG